RNAcentral lists this ribosomal RNA (253 nucleotides) under uncultured bacterium. RNAcentral describes it as "partial 16S ribosomal RNA". It matches the Rfam family "Bacterial small subunit ribosomal RNA", at positions 524 to 776 of the family's 1533-position model. The record is from RNAcentral.
UACGGGGGGGGCAAGCGUUGUUCGGAAUUACUGGGCGUAAAGGGCUCGUAGGUGGCCAACUAAGUCGGACGUGAAAUCCCUCAGCUUAACUGGGGAACUGCGUCCGAUACUGGAUGGCUUGAGUUUGGGAGAGGGAUGCGGAAUUCCAGGUGUAGCGGUGAAAUGCGUAGAUAUCGAGAGGAACACCUGCGGCGAAGGCGGGUUGCUGGGCUGACACUGACGCUGAGGCGCGAAAGCUAGGGGAGCGAACGGG